CAGCCGCCGCGGUAAUACGGAGGGUGCAAGCGUUAAUCGGAAUUACUGGGCGUAAAGCGCACGCAGGCGGCUUGGUAAGUUAGAGGUGAAAGCCCAGGGCUCAACCCUGGAAUUGCCUUUAAGACUGCCGAGCUAGUAGGUGAGAGAGGUAAGUGGAAUUCCGAGUGUAGAGGUGAAAUUCGUAGAUAUUCGGAAGAACACCAGUGGCGAAGGCGGCUUACUGGCUCAUUCUAGACGCUGAGGUGCGAAAGCGUGGGGAGCAAACAGGAUUAGAUACCCGAGUAGUCCCUGUCUCUUAUAC
Molecule: ribosomal RNA, 301 nt
Filed under: uncultured bacterium
Lineage: Bacteria
Description: partial 16S ribosomal RNA
Rfam family: Bacterial small subunit ribosomal RNA
Source: RNAcentral